GCGUAGGGUGYGUAGGCGGRWAGUUCAAUUUAGCGUAAAAGACUGAGGGAGGGCCCUCUUUAAUCGCUAUUCACUGUCUAUCUUGAGUUCUAUGGGUGAUUACUUGAACUCCUUAAGUAUGGGUAAAAUAGACGAUAUUGGAGGACAUUCGAUGGCGAAAGCAAGAAUCAACGUGGAUCUGACGCUAGGCACGAGAGUAUGGGUAUGAAGUGGAUUAGAGACCAUGUAGUCCAUACCGUAAACAAUGAGUGUUCAACGUCCUUUAGGAAAGCUUCUAGAUAUGCUUGCUAGUUUUAUACGGCUAGAUAAAGCAGAGAGAAGAAAGGACCUAAUGGGGGUUUACAGCUAACGCGUGAAACACCGCCUGGGGAAUGUGGCCGCAAGGUUAAACUCAAAGGAAUUGACGGGGGCUUGUACAAGG
RNAcentral lists this ribosomal RNA (421 nucleotides) under Diachea radiata. Its description in RNAcentral is "partial small subunit ribosomal RNA". The record is from RNAcentral. Lineage: Eukaryota; Evosea; Eumycetozoa; Stemonitida; Stemonitidae.